GAAUCAAAAGAUAGCUUCUCUUGGCCAUAUUUGGACCUUGGCAAGACUGUGUUGAUUUCUUGGUGAAUCUUGGCCACCACUUGAGGGUUUUUUGACAGCAGCCAGAAGAACCAAGUGAGCGCAGAGGCAACAGUGUCUCUCCCGGCUAUAAUGAAAUUCAAGAUGACUUCUUUGAGGAAUUGAUCUUUACUCGGGUUCAAAAGCUCGUACUUGGUCGUGUCUAGCUUUAUGUAGGACGUCAACAAAUCUUCACCUUCUCCGUUAAUGGGAUGAUUACUAAUCCCUUGCAAUCUUACCUCCUCUCUCUUAGUUGAUAUGUAUUUUGCACAAACACGAUCGAAAACGGCAUCAGCUUCUAGCAACUUUUUCUCUAGACCCAAUCCCAUCCAACUUUGUAGCUUCCACAAGAGCCUUGGUUUAAUAUGUCUAUACAUAAUCGCCUCCCCAGCAUCGGUAAUUGCUUUAGCAAACUCAUUGUCCGGCAUUUCAAUGGAGAGGCUUAUAGGAUCAGACCCGGUUAUAAGAACCAUUGUUGUAUCAAAAGUGAAUCUCUGGAACACAUCUUGCAAGUUCACGGUCGUUCCUUCCUUUGCAAAAUGAUCGAAAAGAGGUACAAGCCCGUUCUUGAGUUUACUUCUUGUGGCAGUCACUGAAAAUCUUUGAAACCCCUGAUGGUUGAGCCUGGACUGAGCAGCCUUCCUCAGGUUUUUCCACAGCUCUGAGUCCGUGUUGAAUAUCACAUCUUUGAAAACAUCAAAGACUUCUUUGAACUCAGGGCCUUUGGUGUAAUUUGAGAAGUUUGAGCUCAAUAUGUAGUGAAUGUUUGCUGGAUCAACAGUGAUCAACAUAUCCAUUCCAGCAAACCAGAGACCUUUGAACUGAAAUGUUAAGUUGGACAUCUCGAGAAUCUCCGCCAAAAAAUCAUAGACUCGGUGGAGCGCCAUGAGAAGAUCUGGAAGCAUUCCGAGAACAGGCCAGUUCCUAGCGAGGUUCUUAUGUGGUUUCUUAAGGAGGGAAUAAAGUAUGAUGAGAAAGGAAAUGAUAGCAAUGAAGGUUUCAAACAAGCUUAUGGAAGCCAUUAGAGCAAAAAGGUUCUUUUGUGUAAAAUGAAACUAGGUUUACACACAAACACAUACUCUUGUGAUGGCUUCUUGGAGAGCACGAAAAACUAGGUUUAUAUAUACACUAGAAACCGCAAUAAUUCAAAAAUGGACCCGCUUCUUCUACGGUCUCAAGCGCACUGCCAGCCUCAACCGACCGAAUUUAAGUGUAGAUGUUAACAAGCAACAAAAAAUCUGUACAUAUAUUUACUAUAUUAGAUUAUAUACUUUAACGAUUUUUAUAUAUGAGAAAGUCUCAAGUAGGGACCAUACUGCGUUGAGGUAAAAAUAUAGAGCUCGAGUUUUCACUUGAUAAACAAACCGGAAAUUUAUGGUAUUUCUUCUAUCGGCUAUAUUGUAAAUAUGAUGUCUUUGAGGAGUAUAUCGUCACUCAAGUUCAAAAUCUCGUACUGGUUUGUGCUAUAAUUAAUUUGGAGCAGGGAAGCAUCCCUAGAAAGAGCCAAUUCAUAGUAAGUGUUGAGAAUCAAUACCAAAGAAAGCAAUAAAAUUGAGGCAAACACCCUUUUAGGGUUUUCUUAUUAAUUGUGUGAAUAAAUAAUUACAAACUCUAAGUUUUGUAUUUAUAGUCCAAAACCCGACUUCCAAAUCCACUUGAUAAAGGAAAACCUAAAACAAACCUAAUAAAAAACCAUAACGUUACAUUCCUCAACUUGCUCUAGCAGAGCCCUUUAGAAUAUUUUGUUAUCUGAAACAACAGUAAGAAAACUCUUAUAGAGUUUCUUGUUAAAAAAGUAAAGUACGGAGAAAGCAAAUAGUAGUUAUGAAGACUUCAGAUCAGCUUAUCUUGAUGCCAUUUGGGAAAAGGUUUCUAUGUAUACAAAAGAAGUUGAUUUACACACAACACAAACUCUUGUGAUGCCUUCCAAAAGUGUAUGAGGAACUUUGUUUAAACACUCACGCACACACUAGAAUGCUAACAAAGUAACAAGUUUGAUAGAAUACGUUAGCCAGAUGGUUAGCUAUGCAUUGAUUGUUUAGCCUCCAUUGAUUGUGGCCUGAAGCUGAUGCAUAAUAAAUUACUAGACAUUGAGAUGGCACAAAUCUUUAUUGAAAUGACACAAAUGUUUUGUAUAAUAAAUUGCUAGACGACAUUUGUGCAUUGUUCCACACUUUCACUAUAUGCAUACAUAUACUUUUAUCUAGCUCUGAGUCCGUGUUGGAUUUACAAAAACAAAGGAAACAUAGUAAAAAAAAAAAACAUAAGCAUAAACACAAAAAUAUGAUUUAAGAAAAGACAAAAAACAAAAUCACUAUUGAGUAUUUAAAAAAAGGAAAAUAAGAAAUAUAUUUGAUAAACUAAAAAUUAUAAAUCUCUUAGACCCAUAGAACAGAAUACGUGAAGUGAAAGAAUGAGCUCUUCGACCAUUAGACUAAUUUGGCAAUUGUAAUGUGGCCCUUAAAAUAAGAUAUGUGUCUUGAAGGUAAUUUCUCGCCUUAUGGUCGGGCCGGAUUUAUUGAAAAGAGAAAUUUUUUCCGUAUGAUAAAUUACUAGACAGACAAUUCUAGUGUUUGAACACUCACGUACUGUGAUCAAAUCUAGUGAGAACAGAAAAAAUAUCUGUCCUAAUAAAGAAUCACAUGUUGAUGACCAUUCUUGGAUAUGCAGAUCGAAAGUGGUCCCUCAUACUAAUAAUGAUAAUGCUAUAUAAUAUGAGAGUUUUUUCACCAUUUAAGGUAUCCACAUAAAAAAAAAAUUAAAAUUAAUGAUUCAAUUAGUUCACACUUUUUCAAUAAUUAUUAUUGUUCAUUUAAAAAGAGAGAAAAUACUAAAAACAAAAUUAUUGGUUCCAUUAACUCACACAUUAACUAUAGUUAUUAUUUUUCAUCUAAACUGAGUUUACAAAAAGAUAAAAAAAUAAAAAAGAAAAAAAAAUUUAGAGUAUAAAUUAGAUGACUAUAAGAUUUAAUGAAGGAAUAAUUACUUUUAAGAAAUAGGAAGAAAAGUUAUUAUGUUAAAAAUUAUAAAAUAAAUCGUAAAACAUUUUUCUAAUAGUUAUAAAUUAUUAAGGAUAAUGAAAAGUUACAAGUUAAUUAAAUAGUAAAUACAAAAUUAGAUGAUUUUUACUCAAAAGAAAAAUAUUUAGUUUUCACAAAAACAUUAGUAUUUUGCUCUUUUGCAGUAGGUUAUGCAUUUUAAGAAAUGAAAAUAAAAAUUCAUACAUAUCUAAAAUUAUAAGAUGAAAAAUAUAUUACGAGAAAUUAUUUUUUUCAAUGAUAAGUUAAGUGUAUGUAGGACUUUACAAGUUCAUGUCAAAUUCUCUAUUAAUAUGAUAUUAUCUGUUUUGGGUUCAACUGGUAAAGUUUGCACAGAUUUAUUUUUGAACUCCUUCCCCAAAAGUCUUAUACUAAUUAUUAUUAGACAUAAAUUAUAUAUUAGACACUCUUUUUUCAAAUUUCUGGUGUAGGAUUUGGAUUGAUAUCUCAACAAUCCUCCCCUCAAGACAAGAACCACACAAACGUGUGGUCUCCCAACCUCCUAUGAAACUUGGCACCCAUCUUGUAUCGCCUAACCUAACCGUUCGCGUAUUGUUAAGAAUACUGUCAACACAAGGCAACGGUAACCCAAUCGCAAAAUCACUUUAAGGGCUCUUGCGACUGUUUUCAUAAUGAAACUACAUUUUGGUAUUACGAAUUCGCUCCUCCAAAACUUGUAAUUUGAAUCCACUAUAAAUUUUUUUUAAAAAUUUGUUUCACAUAAUAAUUUUAAACUAUAUAUGAAAUGAAAAAGCAUAGAAACCUUACAUUACAUAUGUUCACAAAAAAAGAGAUCACAUACAAAGUUAAAUGUCAUAGUAACUUCCAUUGAAAAAUGAGUUACUAUAUACAACCAUGGAGAUAAGUUUAAAAGGAGAUCAAAGUCAUUGAAAAGGUUCUAGAGCCUAUGAUUCCGAGAGAUUACUAGAGAGCACCAUUAAUAAGAGUUCAAAGGAGACCAAAAGAGUUGAGAGAGGUAGAGUAACCUAUGAUUCCGCGAGAUGAGUGGUUUGAGGAGCAGAAGUCAUCGGAGCAGCAUUUGGCUCCUCAGAGGUGUUGUUUGUGGCCAAAAAGUCGAAAACCCCUGGAUCUGUUGCAGCCAAAUACCUUUCGACCAGGGAGAGUUUGUCGAUAUUGGCUUGUUGCUCUGUAGAAAUUCUUGUAAGCUCGGACUUUUGCCUUGCAUUCUCAGCUGCUUGUUCUUCUCUUUUGCGUUGAGCUUCUUCUAGCUGUUCUUGCAGAGUCUUGUAUGUUGAAGAGCUACCUGGGUACUUCCUCUUUCCAUUAAUAUGCGACUGUGAAAGGCUUCCAAUUCCAUAUGGAAUACCUCUUUCAUUUGUGAAUGUCGACUGCAACAACAAAAGAAUGGUUCAAACAAAAAAAAACCAAAUGAUCACACUAUAUUAUAAAAUACAAACUACAAACCAAAAACGAGGACUUACCUGGAGAAAGAGGUCGUUCUCCUCUUCUACGGUUAGCUCCUCUAAAGAAUCUGAGUCUAGUGUCCCUUGGUUAUAAAUUCUAGCUUUUAAGUUCCUCUUAUACCUUUCAGCCACGCUAUCUGCCUUUCGGUCUACAAAGGUCCCAUCUGCUUUUGUAUGAGUCUUGAUGAAAACUUCACCAAGACUCACCAGUCUUUCCAAUUCUUCUUCCUGAAAUGAUAAGAACAAGAUGCAAGAGUUAAAAGUUUAAAACUGAGUGAUUAGGUAUGGAUAUAGUACUUACCAUUUCUUGUUGGAUUUGUAGAUAUGAUUUUUGCUCUGACACGUGUAUGUGAGGGCCAAGACCCUUAUGUUCAGACAGCCGAGCCCCUGAUGUGGUUGCACUCUUCUCUUUGGCUUCUUCAGUGUUCCAAUACUGGGUCAUUUGUUUCCAGAGAGUAUCACCUAUCCAAUUAGGUUGCUCCCGAGAAGUCCUUACUUUGCUUACCAUAUCUUUCAUCCUUUGUUGACAUAUACUCUCAAACUUUUGUUGAACAACACCAGUUAUUAAGGGAUCCCAGGUGUGUUUUUUCUACAAAUAACAUGAGAGAAUAUAAUGUUAGUGAGCAAACAUAAAAGAUGAAAAACUGAAUCAAAGUUACAAAAAAGGAUACUUUACCGCGAAUUCAACGAAGUACCGCUCCUGUCUUUCCCGAGGCACACAUGUCCAGCUAUAAAAAGGACCAUCAAACUUUUUUGUAAAGACUUUGGUUAUCUUACGGGUCAGUGAAGACUUGCACGACCAAACCUACAAACAGAGAAACAAUCAAUUACAAUAAUGACUCACAUAUGCACUUGUACAUAUCACAUACACGAUGCAAUAUCACAGACAUAUGCAAUAUCACGAUGCAAUACACGAUGCAAUAAUGACUUACACAAUGCAAUAAUGACUGGACAUAUGCAAUAUCAUGAUGCAAUAAUGACUCACAUAUGCACCAGUACAUGUCACAUAACCAAUACACAGACAUAUGCAAUAUAUCACGGUGAGAACAAUAUCACAUAUGCACUAGUACUAACCAAAAACAGGCAUCAGUUUCAAACAAGACACAUAUCACACGAAGCUACACAUCCUACAUAUAUGUGUGAAGCUACACGUCCUUCACAUCCUAUACGAACAUAGUACAUAUCACAAAUCAAACAAGCUAAACAUCCAUCACACAAUCUAUUGUUCCAUUGCAGCUCAACAUGAUUAAUGUUAAGAACACUAAGUUAAGAGAGAGAGAGAGGCGUACCAUGUUGUAUUCGGCCUCUUUAUUGGAGAGAGGACUGUCGUAAACUCUUCUCUGUCAGGUUGAGUGGGUAUAGCAUUGAGGAUUUGCAGCUGGUCCUCCGCGAGAUUGGCUGGGACUAGAUCGUCUUCUUCUUCAAAGGUGGCUCCUUCAUCCACUUCAGAGUUGUUAGCUUCAAACGCUGGAGAUAUUUGUUCUUCAGACAUUGGAGAGGAUUGGCGAUGAGAGUGUGUAGAGCUUCGUGGUUGAGGCAGCGGAGAGGUACGAGGUUGAUAUCGUGGAGAGUUGGCAGGUUGAGACUCGGAGGUUCGACGUUGACUCUGUGAGUGCUGGAAAAGAUGAUGAUUUGGCGGUGGAUAAUCCCUCACCGAGACCAAUGGUUGGCAUGUGGGCACAAGUGGUGGCGGAAAUUUUGAUGUUCUCGCCAGAGUAAAAUCGUACCGAUUAUGAAGAGGGGAUGGAGUUCUGGCUUGCGAAGAAGAUGCACCACCUCUUCCUCCUCUUCCUCGUCCUCUCUUGCUUCCAGGGCCACCCAUCUGCGAAUAGAUUGAGAGAGAGCAGAAAUGAAAUCGAUUGUGUCGAUUAGGGUUAGGGAAAGGAGGGGUUAUGUCGAUUAAAUGGAGGGAAAAAUGUUUUAGAGAAGAAAUGAAAUGGAUUGAGAGAGAGGAGAACAGAUUAAACAGGGAUUGAAGAAGAAUUGCAGCAAAGUGGAUUAGAGUUUGGAAAUUGGAUCGAAGGAGAAAUGAAAGGAGAUUAGGGUUUCUGGGUUGAAAAGGGAUUGAUAGAGAAUAAAUGCUUAAGUGUUUAGUUUUUUGGGCUGGUUUUGGGUUUUAAUUAUGUUUUUGUUUAUUUUAGGCCUAAUUGCGGUCGCAAAUUACCGACUGUUACAUUUUAGUCGCUAAAUUAGUCGUUAUUUGGUGAUUAUAUUACGACUCUUUGUAUUAGUCGCUAAUUAGCGUCUACUAUACGACUGAUAUCUAUUAGUCUUUAAAUAAAGACAAAUCAGUCGCCAAAUAGUUGGAACUCGUAACGACUAAUAGUUCUGUCGCUAAAUGCAGUCGCUAAAUCCAUUUUUUCUUGUAGUGCAUCCAACAAACCUCGCUCUUGUACCAGUUGUUGAGUUUUGCAAAUCCAUGUCUAAUUUCUUAUUAGUAUAAUAUUGUCUGCUUUGGGUCUAAUGAAAAAGCCCGCACAGAUUAUAUUUGUGCUCUUUCCCAAAAAACCUCAUACUAAUUACUAUUGGAUAUAACUCUUUAUCUUAACUUCUGAUGUAUGAUUUGGAUUGAUAUCCCAAUAGUGUAAGAUGUGACUAUGAGAUAUGAUGUUUCAUAAAUACAAAAGAGCACGUUUACAUAAUGCAAUUACAAACAAUAAACCAAUUGCAAUUACAAACAUUAACCGACUAGAAACUAACAAUCCAAAUAGAACAAACGAAGUGUUUGCUAAAUAUAACAUAUAAACAAAUAUAAAAAUUAUGAAUGUAAAAUAAGCCAGUACGGAGUCAAUACCUAGUAUUAGAUAUGAGAAUUCUUCUCAGCGGACCCUCACCAUCGAAGAAAAGAAUGAGAUAUUUCUUAAGGUUUGUCUUUUCUCUUCUUAGCAUAUAUUGGUAUUUGUUUUGCUUGAUGUUCAUUAUCUGGCUUUGAGAUAGUAAAAUUCAAUCAUGUCUCGUCAUUAGCUCAGAAUUUUUUUUUUUGCAUUGUUAGCUUGGUUUGAUGUUUAGCAAAAUGUGUGUUUGAGUUUGCGUUGAAUCUUUAAUGAGUCGACACUAUUGACACUGGGUUUUAUAAGGUUUGCGAUUGAUCUCAGUUAGAGCUUACUGGUCUGAUUUGUUUUGCUUCUUUAUGUCGUUGUAAUCUAUUUUUUUUUAAACCAAAAUACUUGUUGAAAAAAUCUUACUGAUCUAACUGAGUUCUUAGUUAUAGUGAUUUCUUACUGUCUUUGUGUUUGCUUAGGGGAUUGAUCUUACUGAGUUCUUUCUGACUUUUCAAUGGUUUGAGGUUAAAAUACUUGUUGUUUUAGUCCACUGAAACAAAUGACAAGGGAAACCCUUUUGGGCUUGGGAAACUGAAAGAGACUAUCAACAAAGGGAAAAGAAAAGAAAGUUAUGGAAAUUCUCAAUCCUCAUCAAUUUCCGAGAUAGAUCAACAGCUACAAGCUGCUCGUCAAAAGAUUGAGGAACAAGAAGCCCAAAAUGCAAGACCUGAUGCGGAGAACCGAGUUUCUCAAUCUAAGAUCGCAAGCUUGGAGUUGCUCUUAUCCUACUUCAAAACAAAUGAUCCAGCAUUUGCAGCAUAUGUGGCUUCUCAAUCAGAUCUAGCCGCACCAACCACAACACCAGGUACCACUCUAAGAGCCGCACCACCAACCACAGCAGGAACCACUCUAGGAAAUGCACCACCAACCACAGCAGGAACCGCACCAACCAAUUCUCCCUUGUCAAACACUUCAUCAAGCUCUCCAUCUUAACUUAGUAAUUUCUUUGAUAUAUUUUUAUUUUGGUUGUCUAAAUAUUUAUGUUUAGGAUCUUUUGUAAGAUGUUUGACUGAUUCUAGUAAGUAUUUUGGGUAGAAACUAUUUAAAAUGCAGAAAUUGUUUCAAUUUUCCGUUUUUGAUUCCUAAAAAAAAAAUUACUUAUUCAACAUAGGUAGUUGCAAAUAAGUCACUAUUUGGGACUGAAUUGCGACCACCAAUAUUUAGAAAACAAUAACGUCGUCGCAUUUUGGAAGCUAAUGCAUGACCAUUUUCCGACUGAAUUGGUAAAUAUUAGUCUCUAAGGAGUCGCAAAUAUUUCCCACUGCUUGGCGACUAAUGUGCUACAAAAAAAAAUUUGUUUCUUCACUUUGCCAUCAAAGCUAGAAAAGUCCCAAAUUAAUCGCUAAAAUAUAGUCUCUAAUAAGUCGCAAAUAUUACCAACUAACUUGCGACCAAGAUGUUACAGUAUAUUAGGUUUUUCACUUCGUCCUUUGUAGUCUCAAAUUGGUCGCUAACUAAUCGGCGUUACAAUCUAGACGUUAAUCUACGACUACGUUAUUUGUCUCAUAGUAGUCGCUUAUACGCGACGGAAAUAUAUCAUCGCAGAGUAGUCGGAAAACAAGGACUAGUUUGCGACUAAUAUUUUUUGCGACGACAAAUUUGCGACUACGUAUUGUAGUCGUAUAGUAGUCGCAAAGCAUUGAUUUGCGAUUAAGAUAAGACUAUAUUGGUAGUCACAAAUUCUGUGUUUACUUGUAGUGGAAGCAGCUGAGCUCAUUCUCUUGGCAUCCUAGAAUGCUAAGAUGUUUGGUAGUAUACAGUAGAACACAGCUAAAUGGGUAGUUGUGCAUUGAUUGUUUUGCCUUCGCUGAUUGUAUGCUAUGCGCUAACUAGAAUGCUAACAAGUUUUUGAUAGAAUGGUUUAUCUCUUCAUUUGAGUCAGUAUACUACAAUUAUUGUCCGUAAGUACUAGGAGGCUUAAAGCAAUUCGAAAAAUGGGGAUUUUUUUGUUUCUAUAACUUUUUAGUUAGUAUAAUAAAUUUAUUAACUAUCAUUAGUUUAAAUAUAUGUUUUAAUAAAUUAUGAUUGUAUUUUCUUAAGCCAAUCGACAUUAUUUAUAUAUAUAUUUUUAAUAUUAUCUAAAGUUUUAUUAUUUCAGAAAACGAUUGAAAAAAGCAAAGAAGCCACCAAGUAGAAUUUUUUUAAAAGUACAAUAAUAUGUUGAAAGAUGUAUGUUAACAUUUAAAAAUAGAUGAUAUAUUCAACUAAAAAUCAAUUAAUUUUUUAAUUGUUUUUGACUACUUAUAUUCUGCAUAUUGUUUUUUCAUUAGUUGAAUUAUGUUUAUAUAGAUAAUAACUGAUGUUUUAGUUUUUGAAAAACAUUUAAUAAACUUUAAUAUUUUGGUAUAAAUCUUAUACAUCAUCUUUUUGAAAUGAAGGAAAUAGUAUGUAUACAUAUAAUAAAUUAGUUGGAAAACAAAAGUUGUUAAUUAAAAAGAAAGAAGGAAAUAUAAAAUAUUUAUAUGUGGCCCUUAAAAUAUAAAUUAGUUAUAUGUGGCAUGUUGUAAAAAGGAAAAUGUGGCAUGAAGCUAAUGCAGAAUAAAUUACUAGAUCUAUAUAAAUCUUCAUUGAAAAAAUCUUUUGUGUAUUAAAAACGACAAUUGUGGUACAUUACGUACAUUGCAUGGAAUGAAUCAGAAACGGGUAUGCGAAACGAAGCGUAUGGAAACGUGGAAGUGACUUUUAAAAAAAGAAAAGAAUAGGAUACGUGUUGAUAUAUAAUAUUAUAUGUAACAAAUUUAAUACAUUAAUUUUGCACAAUUUAACUAUUUAGUAUUCAUAUGAUCCACAAUUAGUAUAAGAUAUUCUUCAAAAAAAAAAAAAAACUGGUCACGUGAAUCAGAUUUACAAGUUAAUCCUUGAUAAAAUGCAGACCAACCAUUUCGAUAAAAAUUAACCCGUGAUAUAGCCUUAAUGUAUUUUAUCGUGUAGAAAUUGUGUCGUUUUAAAAACAAAUUGAAUACUCUAUAGGGGGAAAGAAUAUUGAGUGGACCGACCACUAACCAAUUUAACCACCAAUUUUCUCAUAAUCUUCAUGAAUACAUAAUAUUAAGGUAUAGAUUCAUCAUCUCGCAGAUCAUAUAAAAGUAGCUAAGGGAUUCAUCGAAGACCAUGCUCUCAGAUCACUUUAUUAUACUCGGAUUUAAUUUAACGAAUAGAUUUCACUAAGCUGAAUCUCGCUUAGUAAUUGUCACCUCAAACCCAUGCUUCAUGCGAAGGAUAAGACCAGGAAGUGACUCAACCUUCUGCCCUUUGAUGGCUUUAAUGUCAUAGCUUUGUAAUAUCUCCAUAACUACGGUCUUCAUGAGAAUCAUAGCUAGUUGCUUACCAAGACAGCUUCUCGGGCCGGCAUUAAACGGUAAGAACUUGAAGGAAGGCUCAUGUCUUAAGCUUCCACCACAAGUCUUUGAAACCCAUCUCUCAGGUUUGAACUCAAGUGCAUCUUCUCCCCAUACAGCUCUCAUCCUUCCAAGCGCGUAAAGAACGAUAAUGACCUUGGAAUUUGCAUCGACUUUAUGCCCGCUUGGAAGCACGUCUGGUUUUAUAGCAGACUUUCGCUCGAAUGGAAUUGGUGGGUAUAACCUCAUCGAUUCAUACAACGCGCCAUGUAAAUACACUAGCUUGUUAAGCUGGGUGGAAUCAAAAGAUAGCUUCUCUUGGCCAUAUUUGGACCUUGGCAAGACUGUGUUGAUUUCUUGGUGAAUCUUGGCCACCACUUGAGGGUUUUUUGACAGCAGCCAGAAGAACCAAGUGAGCGCAGAGGCAACAGUGUCUCUCCCGGCUAUAAUGAAAUUCAAGAUGACUUCUUUGAGGAAUUGAUCUUUACUCGGGUUCAAAAGCUCGUACUUGGUCGUGUCUAGC
Molecule: long non-coding RNA, 11202 nt
Filed under: Eutrema salsugineum
Lineage: Eukaryota; Viridiplantae; Streptophyta; Magnoliopsida; Brassicales; Brassicaceae
Description: long non-coding RNA (ESAL_LNC001572)
Source: RNAcentral